AAACCAACAGGGAUUGCCUCAGUAGCGGCGAGUGAAGCGGCAAGAGCUCAGAUUUGAAAUCUCACCUAGUGUGCGAGUUGUAAAUUGCAGGUUGGAGUCUCGGGUUAGACGUGUGUGCAAGUCCCUUGGAACAGGGUGCCACUGAGGGUGAGAGCCCCGUAGCGUGCAUGUCGACACCUGUGAGGCCCUUCUGACGAGUCGAGUUGUUUGGGAAUGCAGCUCUAAGUGGGUGGUAAAUUCCAUCUAAGGCUAAAUAUUGGCGAGAGACCGAUAGCGAACAAGUACUGUGAAGGAAAGAUGAAAAGCACUUUGAAAAGAGAGUGAAACAGCACGUGAAAUUGUUGAAAGGGAAGGGUAUUGGGCUCGACAUGGGAUUUACGCAUCGUUGCCUCUCGUGGGCGGCGCUCUGGGUUUUUCCUGGGCCAGCAUCGGUUUUCGUUGCAGGAUAAGGACAAUUGGAAUGUGGCUCCUCGGAGUGUUAUAGCCUUUUGUAGAUGCUGCGUAUGGGGACCGAGGGCUGCGGCGGACUCGUUUCGUCUCGGAUGCUGGCACAACGGCGCAAUACCGCCCGCUG
RNAcentral lists this ribosomal RNA (574 nucleotides) under Pichia kluyveri. RNAcentral describes it as "eukaryotic LSU rRNA". It matches the Rfam family "Eukaryotic large subunit ribosomal RNA", at positions 62 to 654 of the family's 3401-position model. Lineage: Eukaryota; Fungi; Ascomycota; Pichiomycetes; Pichiales; Pichiaceae. The record is from RNAcentral.